GACGAACGCUGGCGGCGUGCUUAACACAUGCAAGUCGAACGGAAAGGCCCUGCUUUUGUGGGGUGCUCGAGUGGCGAACGGGUGAGUAACACGUGAGUAACCUGCCCUUGACUUUGGGAUAACUUCAGGAAACUGGGGCUAAUACCGGAUAGGAGCUCCUGCUGCAUGGUGGGGGUUGGAAAGUUUCGGCGGUUGGGGAUGGACUCGCGGCUUAUCAGCUUGUUGGUGGGGUAGUGGCUUACCAAGGUUUUGACGGGUAGCCGGCCUGAGAGGGUGACCGGCAACAUUGGGACUGAGAUACGGCCCAGACUCCGACGGGAGGCAGCAGUGGGGAAUAUUGCACAAUGGGCGGAAGCCUGAUGCAGCAACGCCGCGUGCGGGAUGACGGCCUUCGGGUUGUAAACCGCUUUCGCCUGUGACGAAGCGUGAGUGACGGUAAUGGGUAAAGAAGCACCGGCUAACUACGUG
This 468-nucleotide ribosomal RNA is filed under the name uncultured bacterium. RNAcentral describes it as "partial 16S ribosomal RNA". It matches the Rfam family "Bacterial small subunit ribosomal RNA", at positions 28 to 507 of the family's 1533-position model. The record is from RNAcentral.